UGGCUCUCGCAUCGAUGAAGAACGCAGCGAAAUGCGAUAAGUAAUGUGAAUUGCAGAAUUCAGUGAAUCAUCGAAUCUUUGAACGCACCUUGCGCUCCUUGGUAUUCCGAGGAGCAUGCCUGUUUGAGUGUCAUGGUAUUCUCAAUUUUUCAAAUCUUUGUGGAUUUGGAAGGAUUGGAUGUGGAGGUUAUUGCUGGCAUAAUCCAUGUUGUGCUGGCUCCUCUCAAAUGCAUUAGCAAGAAUAUUGCUUUGUCAACCUCAGUGUGAUAAUUGUCUACGCUGUUGUUGCAUGGCAAAAAAUAAUAUAUUCCUGCUUUAAAUAGUCUUUGGACCAUUUCUUGACAUCUGACCUCAAAUCAGGUAGGACUACCCGCUGA
This 377-nucleotide unclassified non-coding RNA is filed under the name uncultured fungus. RNAcentral's name for it is "partial contains 5.8S ribosomal RNA and internal transcribed spacer 2". The stretch from base 1 to 133 matches the Rfam family "5.8S ribosomal RNA", at positions 22 to 154 of the family's 154-position model. Lineage: Eukaryota; Fungi. The record is from RNAcentral.